UCAUGAACGAAAAUCAAACCUUUCAAACUGAAAAAAGGAAUAUGAAUUAUUUAAAUUAUACCUCUGUCUCAUUGUGAUGGCAUCAAAUGGCAUUGUAUUUUUUCUUUUAUAAAAAUCCACUAUUUUUUUUAAUGUUCCUAUUAUUUUAGGACAUUUUGGGCAUAUCAGCUCAGAUAGCUCAAACAAAAUUCGAGCAAAUACGAUUCAUUCUUGGUUCAGUAUCUGCAUUUGGAGUAACUGCAGCCGGUCUCAAAACAGAUGGAGCUCUAACUGAGGCUGCAAAAACAGAUGGUGCUCUAACUGAAACCGCGAAAAUAGAUGGUGCUCCAACUGCUCCAAAAAAAACCUAGUAAGCGUUUGAGCUAUAGUCACUCAGGAUAUUUGGCGAGGUGAAUAAUCGUCCCUUUUCUCUUCCCAUUGGAGAAAGGGAAAUUGGUUUUCUAUGGCUAUACGUAUUGGACGAUUAUAGCCAUAUAUCUAGUUGGCGAGCACAUGACAUCGUAUAGUUUAUACAUAUAACCAUAUAAUAUAUAUAUAUAUAUAUAUUUUUUUUUUAUGUAACUGAGAGUAAUUCUUCAAUAUUUCUGAUAGCUAGCAAUUUUUUUUUU
Molecule: long non-coding RNA, 608 nt
Organism: Camelina sativa (false flax)
Lineage: Eukaryota; Viridiplantae; Streptophyta; Magnoliopsida; Brassicales; Brassicaceae
Source: RefSeq, a predicted model, not a curated record